AGUGAACGCUGGCGGCAGGCCUAACACAUGCAAGUCGAACGGAAGCACAGUACUUGCUUGUGGAUUCGGGUGCCGAGUGGCGGACAGUGCCUGGAUAUCUCCGUAUCUACUGGUGAUAAGGGGCUAACACAGGCGAUAAUACCCUAAUAGUGCAUAGGACGUAAGGGGGGAAGCUUGGGAUCUUCCGCUCUUGCGCGAUCGUAUGAGCGAAUGUCGGAUUAGCUAGUUGGUGGGGUAAAGGCCUACCAAGGCGACGAUCCGUAGCUGGUCUGAGAGGAUGAUCAGUCACACUGGAACUGAGACACGGUCCAGACUCCUACGGGAGGCAGCAGUGGGGAAUAUUGGACAAAGGGCGAAAGCCUGAUCCAGCCAUGCCGCGUGUGUGAAGAAGGUCUUCGGAUUGUAAAGCCCUUUAGGUUGGGAGGAAGGGCAGCAGGUUAAUACCUCGCUGUUUUGACGGUACCAAAAGAAUAAGCACCGGCUAACUUCGUG
RNAcentral lists this ribosomal RNA (492 nucleotides) under uncultured bacterium. RNAcentral describes it as "partial 16S ribosomal RNA". It matches the Rfam family "Bacterial small subunit ribosomal RNA", at positions 29 to 507 of the family's 1533-position model. The record is from RNAcentral.